AGUGAACGCUGGCGGCAGGCCUAACACAUGCCAGUCGAGCGGCAGCGCGGGGGCAACCCUGGCGGCGAGCGGCGGACGGGUGAGGAAUUCGUCGGAAUCUGCCUUUUUGUGGGGGAUAACGUAGGGAAACUUACGCUAAUACCGCAUACGUCCUACGGGAGAAAGUGGGGGACCGCAAGGCCUCACGCAGAAAGAUGAGCCGACGACCGAUUAGCUAGUUGGUGGGGUAAAGGCCCACCAAGGCGACGAUCGGUAGCUGGUCUGAGAGGAUGAUCAGCCACACUGGAACUGAGACACGGCCCAGACUCCUACGGGAGGCAGCAGUGGGGAAUAUUGGACAAUGGGCGCAAGCCUGAUCCAGCCAUGCCGCGUGUGUGAAGAAGGCCUUCGGGUUGUAAAGCACUUUUGUCCGGAAAGAAAUCCCUGGAGCUAAUACCUUCGGGGGAUGACGGUACCGGAAGAAUAAGCACCGGCUAACUUCGUG
RNAcentral lists this ribosomal RNA (484 nucleotides) under uncultured bacterium. RNAcentral describes it as "partial 16S ribosomal RNA". It matches the Rfam family "Bacterial small subunit ribosomal RNA", at positions 29 to 507 of the family's 1533-position model. The record is from RNAcentral.